RNAcentral lists this ribosomal RNA (62 nucleotides) under Anadara kagoshimensis. RNAcentral describes it as "partial 28S ribosomal RNA". It matches the Rfam family "Eukaryotic large subunit ribosomal RNA", at positions 1 to 60 of the family's 3401-position model. The record is from RNAcentral. Lineage: Eukaryota; Metazoa; Mollusca; Bivalvia; Arcoida; Arcidae.
UCCGACCUCAGAUCAGACGAGAUUACCCGCUGAAUUUAAGCAUAUCACUAAGCGGAGGAAAA